CAGUAGCCGCGGUAAAACGAAGGGUGCAAGCGUUACUCGGAAUUACUGGGCGUAAAGCGUGCGUAGGUGGUGGUUUAAGUCCGUUGUGAAAGCCCUGGGCUCAACCUGGGAAUUGCAGUGGAUACUGGGUCACUAGAGUGUGGUAGAGGAUAGUGGAAUUUCCGGUGUAGCAGUGAAAUGCGUUGAGAUCGGAAGGAACGCCCGUGGCGAAAGCGAGGUCCUGGACGUUUUCUGACGCUGAGACGCGAAAGCUAGGGGAGCGAACGGGAUUAGAUACCCCAGUAGUCCCUGUCUCUUAUAC
Molecule: ribosomal RNA, 301 nt
Filed under: uncultured bacterium
Lineage: Bacteria
Description: partial 16S ribosomal RNA
Rfam family: Bacterial small subunit ribosomal RNA
Source: RNAcentral